This 497-nucleotide ribosomal RNA is filed under the name uncultured bacterium. RNAcentral's name for it is "partial 16S ribosomal RNA". It matches the Rfam family "Bacterial small subunit ribosomal RNA", at positions 28 to 507 of the family's 1533-position model. The record is from RNAcentral.
GAUGAACGCUGGCGGCGUGCCUAACACAUGCAAGUCGAGCGAACGGACGAGAAGAUUGCGUCUCUGAUGUUAGCGGCGGACGGGUGAGUAACACGUGGAUAACCUACUUAUAAGACUGGGAUAAUUACGGGAAACAGGAGAUAAUACCGGAGAAUAUUUUGAACCGCAGGGUUCAAAAGUGAAAGACGGUCUUGCUGUCACAUAUAGAUGGAUCCGCGCUGCAUUAGCUAGUUGGUAAGGUAACGGCUUACCAAGGCAACGAUGCAUAGCCGACCUGAGAGGGUGAUCGGCCACACUGGAACUGAGACACGGUCCAGACUCCUACGGGAGGCAGCAGUAGGGAAUCUUCCGCAAUGGGCGAAAGCCUGACCGAGCCACGCCGCGUGAGUGAUGAAGGUCUUCGGAUCGUAAAGCUCUGUUAUUGGGGAAGAACAUCUGUGUAAUUAACUGUGCACAUCUUGACGGUACCUAAUCAGUAAGCCACGGCUAACUACGUG